Long non-coding RNA from Oreochromis niloticus (Nile tilapia), 2033 nucleotides. RefSeq lists it as uncharacterized. The record is from RefSeq and is a predicted model, not a curated record. NCBI's taxonomy places the organism in Eukaryota, Metazoa, Chordata, Actinopteri, Cichliformes, Cichlidae. The transcript has 4 exons.
CUCAUGCUGACUGGAGGAAAUUUUUAGGGUCAUGUAAAGAGGCUACAGACCAUGAGUGAGAUGAUAGCACAACUACAGGCUGGGCUCCGCUUGCUAACAGGUCCAGGGGCACAUUUUUGAUGGCUGAAGCUGCUGUUUAUAUUCAAAAGCUCGCCCCCUGCUCCCCUUCCUGAUGUGGAUGUUUGGCUCCAACAAACCCAAACAGGCCAAAAACAGUUGGCUGCAUCGGAGAGCCCACCGUUCACGAUCCACACGUGUUUGGAGAAAACAGGGGACGUAUGCAGUUUGUCAGUUAUAGCGCAGCAUGGGCUAUCCUGUGGGUAGACUUAUUUUUGUUUAGAAACUUGACAGACAAAAGAAUGAUUCAUGAGCAAUCUGGUGUGACAUAUUUGUAAUCUGGAUUAACAGUGUCUGUUUUGUCUGUCAAGAUAAAGGAAAGUGAAAUAAUUAAUUACUAAUAACUUCUUGAUGACACAAAGUAGGAGUAUAAUGGAUAGAUCAGCUACUUGCUGUCUAUAGGCUGACAAAUACAGGUGAUUUUUCAGAACUUUAACACAAAAACAGAGUCAAUGAGACUGAAACUAUGACUGUAAAACUGAAACAAUGAGCUCAAAGACGAUACAAAUUUAAAGGAGAGUAAAUUUUUUUGUUUUUCCUCAAUGACAGCAUCUUCCACAUGUCUCUAGUCACUCGUCUUUUCCUUUGACAACAUAAAAAUAUUCACAAGAGCAGGUUUAAAACUGUCAUAUGUUCACAUAUUUCGCCCUGUGGUUCUGGGGUUAUUUUAAGGAAAUGAACUUUAGCCUCCUUUCCUAAUUGGUAAUACUGUGAUAAUGUGAUACUUGUUUUAUUUUUUCCCUCUCCUUUAGAGGUUGGUGCAGCUGGGAGAAAGCCUGAAAAGUAAUUAGUGGACCCUGACAGGCAGAACACCUUAUCCUCGUUAUAUACGCUGUACUCAAGUUUACCACAACUACUGAUUGUAAAUACUCGCCAGAUUUAAAACAGAAUAUUUCUGAUCUGGCACUGAUUUGUAGUAUCGAAUAGCUCUCCGUUUAUUUUAAUUACUACAUUUAAAAAUGGUCAUGUGCAAUAAUGCAAAUGUUCACUAUUUGUAAUAUAAUAUAUGAAUACAAGGAAUCAAAAGGGGCCAACGGGGGACACCAAAAUAGACAUUAGCUAUCUUUGUCCUCAUGUGACUUACAAAAACAGCUUCUAGUUACCUUCACUGUUCACAUGAGCAAAUGCAAUUGGUCCCUCAGGAGCUUUUGCCUUCCCCGAACCAAUGGGAAGCCAGUAUAUAUAUUGCUCAAAGAUCCUUCAGCAGAGAGGAUGUUUACUAGCAGAAGUGGAUCUGUCCUUCUCAUUCCAUUUAAAUGUCGACUCUUAUUAUGACAGUUCAAUCAGUGAAACUUUGAAUAUGGAAAGAACAAAUGUGUGAAAGGGAAACCUUAGUGGGAGUUACCAUUCAAGAGUGCUAAGGGUAUAGAUGUUCAGUUAGAUAUAACAUUUCCUGUCCUUUAAUAAACAACAGCCAGUGACCACGAACUACGAAGGAUUUCUCAGAGUGCUGGCUUGAAGUUUCCCUCUAGUCUUGGUCCCCACAUCCCCCUGAAUUCCUCUUGUACAGUUUUAGGCAUUCCAGGAUCCACGUGUGAGGCAUUGAGUCAAAGACCUUCUUGUAGUCAAUCCAGGCGGUGCAUAUGUUGAUUUCCCCAAAAACUGUUCCUGAGUUUUCCUGGAUGCCUGAGCGUGAGUGUGAGCCGAGGAGUGUAACCAGUUUGCGUGGAGUGUAUCGGAGUACAGGAGUGGAGCCUGUGCAGCCAAAGGAUCGAGGAGCAAGUGUAGAGUUUGUUUUUUCUCCCACCUGCUCUGGAUCCCUGGAGACCCGACCUUUCCCCCACUUUGUAUAUAGUUCACCUGCUUUGUAAAUAAAGAGUGUUUUGCCUGAUUUUUGAGUCUGUUUUAAAAUAUUUAAAUGCAAUUUCCUAAUUCUUUGUGGAAGUAAAAAAAAAAAAAAAAAUCAGACACUGGAC